GACGAACGCUGGCGGCGUGCUUAACACAUGCAAGUCGAACGGAAAGGCCCUGCUUGCAGGGUGCUCGAGUGGCGAACGGGUGAGUAACACGUGGGUGAUCUGCCCCUUACUUUGGGAUAAGCCUGGGAAACUGGGUCUAAUACUGGAUAGGACCAUGCUGUAGGUGGUGUGGUGGAAAGAUUAGUUUCGGUAAGGGAUGAGCUCGCGGCCUAUCAGCUUGUUGGUGGGGUAAUGGCCUACCAAGGCGUCGACGGGUAGCCGGCCUGAGCGGGUGGACGGCCACAUUGGGACUGAGAUACGGCCCAGACUCCUACGGGAGGCAGCAGUGGGGAAUAUUGCACAAUGGGCGCAAGCCUGAUGCAGCGACGCCGCGUGGGGGAUGACGGCCUUCGGGUUGUAAACUCCUUUCAGCCAUGACGAAGCCCUUGUGGUGACGGUAGUGGUAGAAGAAGCACCGGCUAACUACGUG
Molecule: ribosomal RNA, 469 nt
Filed under: uncultured bacterium
Lineage: Bacteria
Description: partial 16S ribosomal RNA
Rfam family: Bacterial small subunit ribosomal RNA
Source: RNAcentral